Molecule: long non-coding RNA, 502 nt
Filed under: Androctonus crassicauda
Lineage: Eukaryota; Metazoa; Arthropoda; Arachnida; Scorpiones; Buthidae
Source: RNAcentral
CCAAAUUAAUUCCUUGAUUCUUUUAAUGGGAAUUUUAAUAAUGGGAAAAAAUUUAUACUAAUGUUAAUGCCAUCUUAUAAUUAAUAAAUACACUGAUGAUUAUCCAUUAAUAAAUAUAAGAUAAGUAAUAUAAAUAUACCUGACGAUAGCAUCGGAAGUCAGUAUUGGGUCUAUGGGAGAAUUGAAGUUCAUUUAUAUCACUAUACUAAUGAUGUAGUCCAGGGAUUGGCAAACAUGGCCCGUGGGCCAAAUCCAGCCCACUGCCUCUUUUUAUAUGGCUCACAGGCUAAGAAUGAAUUUUACAAUUUUAAAAUUUCAAAGUACCCGCUAUAUAGUACAGCUGAAUUGUGGAGUUUCAAGAAAGACCGCACGUGGUGGUCUUGUAGCUUCUCAUUUGCAUGCUCUUGGUGGCCUCUGCUGUUAUUCCAUGUAGUCGCAGUUACAAUUAGGCAGAGUUUAUAGUAUCACAUGUAUUGCUAUUCUUCUUGUGCUUGUUAUUUAA